This is a long non-coding RNA of Solanum lycopersicum (tomato), 534 nucleotides long. RefSeq lists it as uncharacterized. The record is from RefSeq and is a predicted model, not a curated record. Lineage: Eukaryota; Viridiplantae; Streptophyta; Magnoliopsida; Solanales; Solanaceae.
AAAACAAAAUCUCAUUAUAGACUUCAAAAAAAAAAUAAUCGAUUUAAUCGUUUGAAAUUGAGACGUAAUUAAUUGUACAUUCAUAAUUAAAAUUAUCAUGAUUCGAAUCUAUUGAUAUGUAUUAUCUGCUUUAACUUACGAUCCCAUAAAUUUAUUUUUUCAACCACGCAAAUUGAGCUAUGCUUUAUAAGAAUCAACUUAAAUAAUUUAAUUUAACAAACUUAUAAUAGUCGAUAAAUAUAAUAUAUAUAUAUAUAUAUAUAUAUAUAUAUAUAUAUAUAUAUAUAAUCGUAUAUAUAAGCUAUAAAAACUUCGUAUCCUUAGAAAUUUGUUAGUCCUGCUUUGACUCAUCCUCGUCGAGAUGAGAUAAGUGAAGGGAGAAGAAGGAAUCGAAGAAAUUUCAUCUAAAAUUCUCAAAUUAAGAAAAUAGAAAGAGCUAAUAGUAGUAGUACCUGAACGCAUCGAAGUGGUACCACCGAAGAGAAUCGGAAUCGGAAUCAGAGCCACCGCCGUGAGAGUUAGCGAACAUGAAAA